Molecule: long non-coding RNA, 1851 nt
Organism: Monodelphis domestica (gray short-tailed opossum)
Lineage: Eukaryota; Metazoa; Chordata; Mammalia; Didelphimorphia; Didelphidae
Source: Ensembl
GGCUUUUAUCCUCCUCCACAUUAAAAAAUUUUUUCUUUAUGGUGAAUCUUCAGGGGGAGGGGGCAUACACAUUUUUUCUUUUUUGUUUCCCCUUAGUACUACCGGUGCCAAGAGGAUUGUCCAAUAAAAGCCCCGAGAGGAUUAAAAUGGUAGAAACUUCUCUAGAAGCUCAUUUUUAUAACCUUGCCAUCAUAAAGGUUGGGAAAAUGAGGAGACUAGCUCCUAGAGAGCUAUGAAGAUUGGGAAAGCAGGCACCCUGACCUGUAUGGAGCAUGUCAACAUAGGGCAUUCUGAUGACUUUGGUGAGCUCUAUGACUCAGUUUGGUGGCAGAUAACCUCAACUGGUUGCUAAAGAGGGCUGGCCAAGCUCUCCUUUGAGACAGUCUUUCCAGCACUGCACCUUGGAUAGGAACAGAGGACAACAGAGCAUCUCUGCAGAGUUAAAGCCCAGUAGAUGGUAGUAGAGAGCCAUUUGGGGACAGGAUGAUCAAAGAAGAUAUUCAGCAGAGAAAAUACAACAGGAAAUGGAGACAUAAUGCUUUUCAGAGAGCAAUGAAAAACAGAGCCACAGUAUCUGUCCCCAGAGCACGAUGAUAGUUCUCCAAGUUCCAGAGGUGUGAACUGCUUGCCACUUGUGUCUCUGUUAUGAGUGUCUUCCACAUGUGUGCACUGGCCACAGAUGUUCCUGCUGUGCGGGCCCUCCAGGUUCCAGACUCCUGGCUUUCUGACUUACCUGAGCGGCUCUUUCCAAUAGCCUGGAUGCUUGCUAAGUUGGGGAAGAAUGACCAAAGAGAAGUACCCCAGUCAGCAAUGGUUUGGGAUCCCAGAACGUGGACCUGGAUUAAGUUCUCAUCCCUCAUAUUUAUUAACUAUGUAGACCUAGGCAAGCUAGGUAAUCUCUGAGUAUCAGUUUCCUCAUCUGUAAAAUGAAACAGUUGGAAUUGAUGGCCUCUGAGAUCCUGUUCAACUUUGAAUCUAUGGACCUUUGAAUCUAUGAUCUGCUCCAUUUAAUUCAAAUUUAUCACCUUAGUUAAAGCAGGAGAUACCACAGCCUGUCUUACUCUUUGGGCAGGAUGGCAUUUAACAGUGAUUAGGGUAGUCUCUGGGAUAGAACAGUCCUUGCUGAGAGAAGGGUGGUUUAAGAAGGACUCAAGUACAGAAGGGCCUCUGUAUCCACGGGGAAUAUGUUCCAAGACAUGGAUGGUUGAAACCUGAGAUAUAAGCAUACGACUGUAUUUGGGAGGGAUCACAUAUUUUGGGUAUAUAUACGAAAAAAAGUAAAGUAUGUCUCCCCCUCUCUAGAGAGAAAUACACACACUUGUGUGUGUACAUUUCCCCUAUAUAUAGGAAAAUAAUUACAGGAGACACUUGGAUACAAAAACAAAAUGAUAUCUAAUAUUAAUGAUAAUGCUAAAAAUAGCAUAAUCAUAAAGUAGUUUAGGAAAUAUAUAUAUAUAUGUGUGCCCUCUCUCUGCUCCUGUCCCUUGGCUUGGCACUUGGGGGCCUCAACCCCAAAAGGAGAGAUCACAUCUAGGGGCACAGGACCACCAGGGUACCAGUAACUGAAAUCACAAAAAGCAAAAUUAGGGGAUAAGGGGACACUACUGUAAUUGUCUCGCAUAAGGCCAGGUUAGAUCAGUGUCAAGGUUUCUUCAAAGGAAAAAUGUUAUAUCAGAGAUAAGAUUAAUUACACAUUAAAAUUCAUUUUUAAAAGUUCCUAAUUAAUAUCUUUAUUUUUGCUUUUGCAUCUCCUCAGACCUCAUCCUCAUUUCCCAGAGAGCCAUCUCAUAUAACAAAUAGUAUUUUUAAAGACAAAAAAGAGAAAUAAAACCAGAAUAACCGAUAAAAACA